GAGAAAUCACCAGUAACUGCUGCUUCAGCAAUCCCACCUUCGCGACAUUAUGCAUGCUUGUGGUCUGCAGUGGCAAUCUCCACAUUGAUCUAUAGGAUAGCACUUGCAGAGUGUACAGCAGAGGGGAAAGAAUUAUUUCAUGGGGUCUUAUGGCAUGAACAUAUUACUUAAAAAUACAUAUUUAUUUAUAAUUUAUUUGUAAGUUACAUCAACUGUAUUUUUCUUUAUGCCAAUAACAAACUUAUUUUUUCCCUUUUCCAUGUGUUUAAAUAAAACAAACACUAAAAUGUUAAACCGCGGGCUUUUUUCUUUUAGAGGAAUGCUUGAAUUUAACCAUGUGUUUAUUUUCAUGUUCUUGCUGACUCAAGCUACAAUGGUGAUUAUCCCUUGUUCUUUAGAGUCCUAUAUGAUGUUAUUCUGUGAACGGAUUGUGCAUGUGUCAUAGAGUACAUAGUACUGACGUGCAUUUGAAUCAUUAACAUCUAUAAAAGAAUACAAGGGGUGGGCACAUUGGAAUUGCACCUACAUUUAUGCUAGAAUUUCUACCUUAGACAACUUCACACCUUAUAUUUAAUACUACUUAUGAAAAGAAAGUUCCGUUUCUCAACUCUGUCUUCGGCACUAAGGGGUCCUUUUAACUCUAGCUCUUAGGUGACAUUCUUUAUUGGUCAGCUUAACUGUCUGGUUGUAGGAUUUUCAGGAGUUCUGUCAAGAAAAGUUGCAUUUUUUUUAAGGAAAAAAAAGUAA
This 747-nucleotide long non-coding RNA is filed under the name Rattus norvegicus (Norway rat). Its description in RNAcentral is "long non-coding RNA NONRATT022151". The record is from RNAcentral. Lineage: Eukaryota; Metazoa; Chordata; Mammalia; Rodentia; Muridae.